GGGUGUGAGGGCCAUUUGGCUGUGACAUCUGUCACCCCAUUGAUCUCCAGGGUCGAUUCGGCUGAUCUGACUGGCCAGGCAGGUGUCCUCUUCCUCCCUCUCCACUCCAUGUGCGUCCCUCCCAAAGCUGCAUGCUCAGUUGAAGAGGACAACCAUCCCCGAUAGAGGAGGUCCUGUCUUCAGUGAAGGGUAUAUGGGUAGCUGUGCUUCCCUGCUAGAACCUCCAAACAAGAUCAAGAGAAGCUACAUUCUGAAAGACCUCAUGGAGAAGUUGUAACCUAUAACUUGGUAUCAUAAACAUUUGAAUGAUCCACUGCAUUGUGGUAGUUUGACCCUGUC
This 339-nucleotide small nuclear RNA is filed under the name Rhinopithecus bieti (black snub-nosed monkey). Its description in RNAcentral is "7SK RNA (ENSRBIG00000027414.1)". It matches the Rfam family "7SK RNA". Rfam says of the family: 7SK was discovered as an abundant small nuclear RNA in the mid-70s but a possible function has only recently been suggested. Two independent studies have found that 7SK RNA binds the CDK9/cyclin T complex (known as elongation factor P-TEFb). The record is from Rfam by way of RNAcentral. Lineage: Eukaryota; Metazoa; Chordata; Mammalia; Primates; Cercopithecidae.